GAUGAACGCUGGCGGCGUGCCUAAUACAUGCAAGUCGAGCGAACAGACGAGGAGCUUGCUCCUCUGUCGUUAGCGGCGGACGGGUGAGUAACACGUGGAUACCCUACCUAUAAGACUGGGAUAACUUCGGGAAACCGGCGCUAAUACCGGAUAAUCUAUUGAACCGCAUGGUUCAAUAGUGAAAGACGGUUUUGCUGUCUCUUCUCGAUGGAUCCGCGCCGCAUUAGCUAGUUGGUAAGGUAACGGCUUACCAAGGCAACGAUGCGUAGCCGACCUGCGAGGGUGGUCAGCCACACUGGAACGGAGACACGGUCCAGACGCCUAGGGGAGGCAGCAGUAGGGAAUCUUCCGCAAGGAGCGAAAGCCUGACGGAGCAACGCCGCGUGAGGGAUGAAGAUCUUCGGAUCGGAAAACACUGUUAUUAGGGAAGAACAAAUGUGUAAGUAACUAGGCACGUCUUGACGGUACCUAAUCAGAAAGCCACGGCUAACUACGUG
This 497-nucleotide ribosomal RNA is filed under the name uncultured bacterium. RNAcentral describes it as "partial 16S ribosomal RNA". It matches the Rfam family "Bacterial small subunit ribosomal RNA", at positions 28 to 507 of the family's 1533-position model. The record is from RNAcentral.